This 1311-nucleotide long non-coding RNA is filed under the name Sorghum bicolor (sorghum). RNAcentral's name for it is "long non-coding RNA (SBIC_LNC017635)". The record is from RNAcentral. Lineage: Eukaryota; Viridiplantae; Streptophyta; Magnoliopsida; Poales; Poaceae.
UGUCUACAUUGGAUAAUCUUGGCACCAGCAUAUGUUACAAUACCAGCCAUUUCCAUCGAGUACCAUCCUGCACCCUAAACAAAAAGGUAUUCGAGAAUUAAAAGUUGCACCCUAAUCCACUAGCCUGAACCCAUAUUUGAGGGUAUUCGAGGGCAGUGUUCAUAAGCAGGAACAGGAUUUGGAAGCAUGUAGUCACUGAGCUGAGGAUGGCAGCAUAACAGCUCCCAAACAUCUGGAGAGUAUAGCCAGCAAAAAGAGCAUUGGUGGACCAAUUGGCAGCAUAUCAGCUCCCAACACCUGGAGAGGAUAGCAAGCAAAAAAGAGCAUUCGACCAAUUGAGAGCAUAACAGCUCCCAACACCUGGAGAGGAUAGCCACCAAAAAGAGCAUGUAGAUUGCCUAGGGUAACUUGAGGUUGCAAGGUCGUCUAGUCUCAUUCUUGUACUCCCUGCAUCACUUCUCAGAUAAUUUUGGAACUUAGAUGUCAGAGUAGGUACAGCAGGAUAUAAGUUAAUAGAACUUUGCUGGAGAAACCCACAUGCCAAAAGGUUGUUGUUCAUUUUGCAGCCAGUUCACAACAAUCCUGGGAAAUGGAAUGAAAUUAGAGGUUCAACACUAGUAUUCCAGCGAAAACAAAUUUCGUAUGCAAAUGCAAAUUUCGUAUGCAAAUGGACAUGUAGCACUUGAGAAUAAAAUGCACAAAGAAACACAAAUUCUCAUACAAAUUUAGGACCAUUCGGACAACACAUAUGAAAUUACCAUCAUAUCGAGAAAAAAUGCUGGACAUUUCUGUUCACAGAACUGCAAUAUGUGAGAUUACCCACGUCCUAUCCAAAAAGCUGAUGCAUGGAAAUUUCUUUGCUCAUAUAAUUAAGCCAAAAAUAGAAAAAAGAAAUAUAUUAACAUCAUUGCAAAGUAACAAAAAAAAGAAAAAAUUCCCUUGGCUCGGAGAUUCAGUUGGACACUGGAAAUGCAAAGUUAUAGAAAAGGAAAUGCAUUCCCAUGAAAACUUGAGAUAAGAAUAAUGGGUUCAUAUAGUGUGCAUAGGAUAAGAUUCUCACGAUAUUAUGAUAGUUUAACCUUCGUUCAAAAAAAGAAUAUUCACUAACCUGGGCCUGGGAAUUCUUUAGUUCAUCUUUAUACUUCAGUAUCAUCUGGUAAUAUUUCAUCCUCAGAUCUUUACCCUUCUGUUUUACCCUAUUCGUCACAAAGGCAUUGUAUUCCAUUUUAUCAAACGCAGAUUCCUCAUUCUUCUUAAACCAUUCGCAGAUCGCUUCUGUAAUAGCCAUCACAUAUACACCACAGUUAUAUG